This is a long non-coding RNA of Amphibalanus amphitrite, 3386 nucleotides long. RefSeq lists it as uncharacterized. The record is from RefSeq and is a predicted model, not a curated record. The transcript is spliced from 2 exons. NCBI's taxonomy places the organism in Eukaryota, Metazoa, Arthropoda, Thecostraca, Balanomorpha, Balanidae.
AAUCCCACCCAGAAAUGACAAACAAGCUCCCUGAUUGGCCAGUUGCCGGCCAGUUGGACUUGAGCGGUCGCCAUGGUGGUAUCGGGGAAUCGGCCGGCAUCGUUAGGUGUUGAAUUAUGUGUUUCGUUGUGCUAGAUAUUGCCAAUUUGCUUUGAUAUUUGAUAAAUAACGUUGGCUCAUUCUUUGGUGACCUUGCAUACUAAUACGACGAUAUUUUGAUACCGAUUAUUAUGCAUCAAACAUCAUGAGACAAAUGUGGCGAUUUCCACACCCUUUUGCAGUGCCCCCCUCUUGUGUAGUGAGUUAACAGGCUUGUAAGAACCAAGUGAACCAUUUUUAUGUCAAGUGGUCAUGAUCGUCCCUACAUCUAAUGGAUGUACAUCUACAUCUAAUGGAAGUGGUCUUGCGCAAACUUAUAAAGUACUGGAGGAAGCAGAAGUUACGAUUUUGGAGUACGCAAACUUGAUGUUAAAAAAUCUCAGGUAUUUUGGCUAUAUAAAGUGAGAAGAAAAGUUCAAUUGAUCAUUUUUUAUUACAACUGCAAUAAUGAUAAUAUCAUGAUAAUUGUACUGUCAGGUAUUGAUAAUAGUCAUGUCACGUCAUGCCACUAUAUCACCAGGCACACAGACACAACACAUUUUCAACUUUAUGUAUCUAGGCAUAAGGUGUUACAGGCAUGUUUUUGCACACCUCUCAUGUGCGAGAGGGCAUGGCCUCCUUCACAGUUAAGUUUUGGCUGAUUGUGCUCAAAUUUUGUAGGUACCUACCUACAUGUAAAGGGAUGUAGAUACUAGAUACAGUUGGCCGGGCACUCUUCUUAAUUCAGUUUUGUGCACCACUUCCUGCUUUCACCAUGCUGUGCCCACUCUGCUUUACAGUGGACAGCUGCUUCUGUGACACGCAUUAAUCUUGCGUUCAUUGAAACACUUAGUUUUGAGUGUUUUGACUCAGUUUUGUUGUAACGUUACCUGUGUUUAUAUUUACAAUAACUUGUUUUGGGCUUCUCAUAUUUAUCUUUUUUUCUUGGCUUAGCAGGUUUAGUGUAAAACAAGUUUUAGCUGACAUUUUACAUGUUAAGAUUACAUGAGUGCAUACAUUUUAUAAAAGCUAUUUCAAAGUACUGUAGCCAUGUGUAACAUGCAUAUGUCUUAGUGAAUGACUACUCAGCAUGCUGCUUGGUGCUCAAUGGUAAUAGUUUGAUUUGUUUUUGACAUCAAGUAAGAUUUGAUUUUUGUUUCUGAGAUUCCAAUGUUAUUUGUGGCAAAUAUUUUCCAAAAAUCCUCCAUCUAAAGCUUCAACUGAAUUCUAAAAUGCCUGCAUUUUCUACCAGAAACAUUAUCAUUGAUACCUCCUACAAUAUUUCAUUUUGUCACCAGGUACCUGGACUGGUGAAAAGUGAAAACUGAAAUUCGUUCAUGUCACUAUUAUCCUACGACCUACCCCUAAAUGGAAUUGAUCUUGUUUCACAAAUGAGUUGUACAUUGUACAAUGUCUAUCAGCUGAUGUCUAUUGUCUAUCUCUCUUUCAGCACAGAAGAUCCUCAGUCAUAGUUAACAAAAUGGAAAAAAAAUUAGCUGUGUUUUAAAGAUUCCAGUGGUGGCCAUCAACUGCUCAGGAAAGCAGCCCAGAAUCACUUCACAACAGGUUUCCAAAGGAUCAUCAUUCAUCAGCACAGAAGGGUGGGAAAGAGAAGACUGUUCAAAUUCUGAAAAGCCAGAGCUGCAAAGGAGGUCAAAGAUGCAGUGCAGUUGGCCCACUCAGUAGAGUUUCACUAGUGGUUCUGAUGUGGACUGAAGAUUACACGCUGGAUUGAAGUGGCCGGUCUGGAGCAGCUGUAGUUCAUCAUUCUUGCUGAUUGUGGACGAGUAAGAGCCCGCGUUGGCCCCGAUCGGCGAUCGCUGGCCAAAGCCAUGGAUUAGAGAUAACUUUUAUUAUCUCUUAUUCAUGUAUCAUGUAUUCAUUAUUCAUGCAUUCAUGUAUUCAUGUAGGUAUCUCUUAUUCUUGCCAAAGCCCACCACCAGUUUGGUGAUAGGCGUUGGCUGUGAUAUCUAGUGUCGCCUAUGUGUGAAAAGGACAAGUUGAUAACAAAACCUGUUGCGCCAUGUUAUUAACCCGCGCCCGGGUGGCCCUCAGCCAACUUGGUGGGGGGGGGGGGGGGGGUGUAUUCGGCCACACCAGGUUAUCUUGGAAUGUAGCAAAGCUGGAAAGACGCAGUAAAAUCAAUCUAUAGAUCGCUAUUUUUCUUCAGAAUCAUUCAGGUCAUUUUUGAUCAGGUCAUCGCUGAGGUCACUGGAGGUCACCAAAAGUAAAAUGAUGACGAAUUUUGGCCCCCGAUUUUGACAACUUCACAAAUUGGUUCAUAAUUCGGGAACCAAAGAAGCUACAGCGCCGCGGAAAAGCGAAUUCGAUAGCUCUUUCGAAAAUCUUUCAGGUUCUCAGAUUUGAGCUAAGGUCAACUAGGGUUAAGCCUCCAAAGGGCAAAAACUGAACAAUCGGCUUGCUUCGGAAGUCGUCUUUUCUUUAAAAAUUUUUUAAACUGAUACCAACCUUUUAUUACGUUGAUUUUACCGGCACUGCGUUUCUCUCGUCUUCUUGGCCUAACAAGGUCAGCGUAAUAAAUUUGACCUUAGGUCAAUGUCGCAGAAAAUGCCAUUUUGCAUGUCAUUGAUUCGUUACAUUGAAAUUGAGAUUAACAUCAGUAGCGGCGGAACACCUUCAAUUAAGGGGGCAUUGCCGACUUUUGGGCUCAUUCUUUCCAUGCAACGCCCAUAGGGCUAAUGUUAAAAUGCCAAAUUCAAAGGGGGCACGGUGCCCCGGUGCCCUCGGCCUGUUCCGCCGCCUAUGAUUAUGAUGCUUUUAGCGCUCUGGCCACGUUCCAUCUAAACUCGAUGUACAAAAAUAAACUGUUGGGAGGCGUUACAUGACCUGAGAUGACCUCAGGAGCAUACGAUAGAUCCCGAUGUUUGAGUGCUUUUGUUUCAAAAGCAGAACAUUUCGAGUUCCUCAUACUGACUGAAACUGGAGACGUCGCAAAGUUGACCUGACCCUAGGUCACCACCGAUAUCAAAAUUAAAGAUAUUCAAGAUGUUGGUACUGAUUCUCUCAUGCAAUAGCUCGAGCUUCAAACUUCUACUUCAUGGUGACCUGACCUGACCUUAGGUGACAUGGGGUUGCUUUUUUCACAAUUGAUGCGAAUCGAUGCAUUAUACAUAAGCUAUACUAAGUUUCGUGUCGUUUUAUCUAUGCAAGCACAAAAUUGUUAGGUAUGGCCAAAAACGCCCCCACGGACCACCCACCUGGGGAACGUUAAAGCAGUGAUGUAUUUUUUCGGUGUAUUCCACGAUGCAUCGAUCGGUGUACUUGAUAAUGCAUUAUUUAUUGCUGCG